ACGAAGGGGGCUAGCGUUGUUCGGAAUUACUGGGCGUAAAGCGCACGUAGGCGGACAUUUAAGUCAGUGGUGAAAGCCUGCAGCUUAACUGCAGAACUGCCAUUGAUACUGUCAAUCUUGAAUAUGUUUGAUGUGGGCGGAAUAUGACAUGUAGCGGUGAAAUGCUUAGAUAUGUCAUAGAACACCGAUUGCGAAGGCAGCUCACAAAGCCAUUAUUGACGCUGAGGCACGAAAGCGUGGGGAUCAAACAGGA
This 253-nucleotide ribosomal RNA is filed under the name uncultured prokaryote. RNAcentral describes it as "partial 16S ribosomal RNA". It matches the Rfam family "Bacterial small subunit ribosomal RNA", at positions 525 to 777 of the family's 1533-position model. The record is from RNAcentral.